GCUAAAAGGCACAGGGCAAUAUGAGGGAUGUAAUAAUAGUAAUGGACAUACGGUGCUCACUAUGUGCCUCCGGAGCUCUAAGAUUUGCUAGUAACUUACUCAAUCCUCCCAUCUCUGAGGUAGCUGCUGUUGCGGAGCUGGAGGGUCCCUGUCUACCACCUCCAUCCUCUGCCCUCCUGCCCUCUGCUCUGUACUCCACAGGCUAGCUUUCAUGGAUGGCCUCAGCCUGGCUCCCUUGCCCUCUGGAUUCCAGUUAGGUUCAGCCACUGGGGGUUCCAGCAGGAGGCACCAACAUCCAGGAAUGGGCACAGUAAGGUCCGGCCUGCGCUGCAGCAGUGGGAGUGUCCCUCCACCGGAAGCCCCAGGGACCGUCGUGCAGCGUCUCCCACAGGCAAAGCCGCAGCAGCUUCCAUCCGGUGACACCCCGCGGCCAAGGAGGGGCAUCGGCUCCCUGAUGUUGCCAGCUCUGGGGUGCCUCCUUGCCCCCUUGUUAUUUUCCCUAAUUCUGCUCAAUUUGAUGAUGGCACUGAAUCCCUGAGAAGUUAGAUAAUACCAAGUACGUGGUGGAGCUGGGACUCAAACCAGGCCCACAGGCCAUCUGGUCCCAGAGCUGGGGUCCGCACUUCACUGCCGACAUAGUUUGUGAAGACAACCAAGAUGUGACCCAAGACUCCAAUUGGACUGCAAGGCUUCAGAGAGAGGUGGACAGAGGACAGGGUGGACAGGGAGGAAGACUGCCACAGGCUCCCAGGCCUGUUGCAGAGACAGCACAGAGUCCCUCCCUGUUGCUUGACAAUCUCUCUGCCUCCCUCUGAGGAUGAAGACAAUUCACACGGAUUCUAGUGAAGCUCUGGAUACAGAGGAAGCCAGGACUUGUAUUCUGUGUCUGAGUAACAUGUCACUCAGUUGGUAGAAAUAACUAAAGAAU
This is a long non-coding RNA of Manis pentadactyla (Chinese pangolin), 928 nucleotides long. RefSeq lists it as uncharacterized. The transcript is spliced from 3 exons. NCBI's taxonomy places the organism in Eukaryota, Metazoa, Chordata, Mammalia, Pholidota, Manidae. The record is from RefSeq and is a predicted model, not a curated record.